This is a long non-coding RNA of Peromyscus eremicus (cactus mouse), 1344 nucleotides long. RefSeq lists it as uncharacterized. The transcript has 2 exons. The record is from RefSeq and is a predicted model, not a curated record. NCBI's taxonomy places the organism in Eukaryota, Metazoa, Chordata, Mammalia, Rodentia, Cricetidae.
GUUCUUGGAUUGUCUGUGUAAAUGUUAUUUGUUUCUGUUUACUAACCUCCCUUAUUUUCCUAGAGGAAGAGGAGGAAAGAGAGGCAUAACAAAGGCCAUCUCCGUCCCUCCCUAGCUCUCUUGCUAUCAGGACUGCAGCCAGCUGGCUGCUCUCACGAGGGUGGGGGUGCGUGCUCUCAGUACAGGCGGGCAAAGACAGGAGCUCUGGACAGGGCAAUGGGGACUGCCUGCAACUGACAAAAACUGUGUGAACACUAAAGAGAGAAUCUGACCCUCCCUUCCUUUACUGUGAUAACUUCAAGGUCUCUUCUGCCAGCCAGCAGCUUCUCUUGUUAACCCUUCUCUGUCCUGAUAUUGCUUAAAAAGAAAUGUUAAAUUACCAGUUCAAGAUACUGGGAAAAUUAUGCUUUUGUUUCCACAGGAAAAAUAAAAAUUUACAUGGGUUUUGGUCAUUUGAGUUCAGUGGGUUACAAAUACUUGCCAUCAUUUAAGAGACUUGGUUUCAAAUUAUUGCUGGUUAAGAUAAAAUAUAAUGUUUUUAUAAAAAAUGACUUGAGAUAUAUAUAUAAAAAAAAACAUGUUUCAGAUUUCUUUGUCUUGCUAUUCUGCUGUUACAUUGAGACUCCAAAGGGUCAUAGUUGUAAAAAUGUCUGUCUACUCUACAGGUAUGAAUGAAAAAUGUGGCCACAUGUAUGUUUGGUUUUGAAUGUCUGAGUUUGCAUGUCCUUUGUGUUAAGGAAUACAAGUUAAUACUAGUCAUCUGGCUAUUCAGAUACUAGUUUAAAGCAUAAACUGUUCUAUUUAAAUAAAAAAAAAAACUAAGAGGUAUAUUUGACUAAUAUAUCUAUAGGAGAACAAAUUGGCCUGGUUAUUGUUACCAAACUUAGAGAUAUUUUCAAGAUUAGGCCUAGAUUUGUUUGGCUCAGAUACAUUUAAUAGAUAAUGGUCCUCAAACCUGUCAAAGAUCUGAUGAAUAUGGCAUUUACAUUAUUUGAUAAAAAGCUUACUAUAGCAAACAGAGACUCCGAGCUCCCCAGCUCCUAGCAAUGACUCCCAAGGUCUCCAAAGAAGAUAUGAAACAACGACAAGAAGAUGCCACCUGAAUUGUGGACAAUGCUGUCCUGACACCUGUCCUGCCAACACUAUGAAGACUAUAGGAGCCUGGGAUGAUGGCAGUCUGGGUUUCCACUUGGCUGACAGAUACAUCCAAGCAUCAUUUGCUGGUGACAACCUACUGCAAAUGACUGUGAGCCCUGAACUUGCUGAAAGCUGAUAUGGACCAAUUCAGCCGAUAUGCAUACCAUCUCUUCAGCUGGUCAAUAAAACGUUCCCUCUUGUCUUUGA